CAGCGCCGCGGUAAUACGUAGGGUGCAAGCGUUAAUCGGAAUUACUGGGCGUAAAGCGUGCGCAGGCGGUUCUAUAAGACAGAUGUGAAAUCCCCGGGCUCAACCUGGGAACUGCAUUUGUGACUGUAGAGCUGGAGUGCGGCAGAGGGGGAUGGAAUUCCGCGUGUAGCAGUGAAAUGCGUAGAUAUGCGGAGGAACACCGAUGGCGAAGGCAAUCCCCUGGGCCUGCACUGACGCUCAUGCACGAAAGCGUGGGGAGCAAAUGGGAUUAGAUACCCCCGUAGUCCCUGUCUCUUAUACA
RNAcentral lists this ribosomal RNA (301 nucleotides) under uncultured bacterium. RNAcentral describes it as "partial 16S ribosomal RNA". It matches the Rfam family "Bacterial small subunit ribosomal RNA", at positions 509 to 808 of the family's 1533-position model. The record is from RNAcentral.